AAACAUACCAACUUCCCUUACCUAUUAAUACAACCAUUCUCACAUAUUUUCUACACAAUCCGUAAAAAAAUAUCUAACAAAAAUUAACUACCUCACUCAAAAUAUAACUCAUUUUUUCUUUUUUUACCUACCUACCCUACGUUCCUAUAACACUCUCAUAAUACUUCCUAAAAUUACUUCCCAAAUAAUUAUUCCACUUAAAUUCUUAUCUCAAUAUCAACUUUUA
RNAcentral lists this unclassified non-coding RNA (226 nucleotides) under Hevea brasiliensis (rubber tree). Lineage: Eukaryota; Viridiplantae; Streptophyta; Magnoliopsida; Malpighiales; Euphorbiaceae. The record is from RNAcentral.